Molecule: ribosomal RNA, 433 nt
Filed under: uncultured bacterium
Lineage: Bacteria
Description: partial 16S ribosomal RNA
Rfam family: Bacterial small subunit ribosomal RNA
Source: RNAcentral
AACGAACGCUGGCGGCAUGCCUAACACAUGCAAGUCGAACGAGACCUUCGGGUCUAGUGGCGCACGGGUGCGUAACGCGUGGGAAACUGCCCUUAGGUUCGGAAUAACUUCCCGAAAGGGGUGCUAAUACCGGAUAAUGUCUUCGGACCAAAGAUUUAUCGCCUUUGGAUGGGCCUGCGUUGGAUUAGCUAGUUGGUAGGGUAAAAGCCUACCAAGGCGACGAUCCAUAGCUGGUCUGAGAGGAUGAUCAGCCACACUGGGACUGAGACACGGCCCAGACUCCUACGGGAGGCAGCAGUGGGGAAUAUUGGACAAUGGGCGAAGGCAUGAUCCAGCAAGGCCGCGUGAGUGAUGAAAGCCUUAGGGUUGUAAAGCUCUUUUACCCGGGAUGAUAAUGACAGUACCGGGAGAAUAAGCUCCGGCUAACUCCGUG